ACGACCGGCGCACGGGUGCGUAACGCGUAUGCAAUCUGCCUUAUACAGAAGAAUAGCCCUGAGAAAUUGGGAUUAAUGCUUCAUGGAAUUACGAAGUGGCAUCACUUUGUACUUAAAACUCCGGUGGUAUAAGAUGGGCAUGCGUAUGAUUAGCUAGAUGGUGAGGUAAUGGCUCACCAUGGCGACGAUCAUUAGGGGUCCUGAGAGGGUGAUCCCCCACACUGGUACUGAGACACGGACCAGACUCCUACGGGAGGCAGCAGUGAGGAAUAUUGGGCAAUGGAGGCAACUCUGACCCAGCCAUACCGCGUGAAGGAAGACUGUCCUAUGGAUUGUAAACUUCUUUUAUAUGGGAAGAAUAAGGUCUACGUGUAGACUGAUGACUGUACCAUAUGAAUAAGGACCGGCUAACUCCGUGCCAGCAGCCGCGGUAAUACGGAGGGUUCAAGCGUUAUCCGGAUUUAUUGGGUUUAAAGGGUCCGUAGGCGGACUAAUAAGUCAGUGGUGAAAUCCUGCAGCUCAACUGUAGAACUGCCAUUGAAACUGUUAGUCUUGAAUUAUUUGGAAGUUGGCGGAAUGAGUAGUGUAGCGGUGAAAUGCAUAGAUAUUACUCAGAACACCGAUUGCGAAGGCAGCUGACUACGAAUAUAUUGACGCUGAUGGACGGAAGCGUAGGUAGCGAACAGGAUUAGAUACCCUGGUAGUCUACGCCCGUAACGAUGGAUACUAGUUUGUCGGGGAAAUU
Molecule: ribosomal RNA, 745 nt
Filed under: uncultured bacterium
Lineage: Bacteria
Description: bacterial SSU rRNA
Rfam family: Bacterial small subunit ribosomal RNA
Source: RNAcentral